UACUCCUUCGGGGGGGCAGCAGUAGGGAAUCUUCGGCAAUGGGCGAAAGCCUGACCGAGCAACGCCGCGUGAGCGAUGAAGGCCUUCGGGUCGUAAAGCUCUGUUGUUAGAGAAGAACAAGUACGAGAGUAACUGCUCGUACCUUGACGGUACCUAACCAGAAAGCCACGGCUAACUACGUGCCAGCAGCCGCGGUAAUACGUAGGUGGCAAGCGUUAUCCGGAAUUAUUGGGCGUAAAGCGCGCGCAGGCGGUCUCUUAAGUCUGAUGUGAAAGCCCACGGCUCAACCGUGGAGGGUCAUUGGAAACUGGGAGACUUGAGUGCAGGAGAGAAAAGUGGAAUUCCACGUGUAGCGGUGAAAUGCGUAGAGAUGUGGAGGAACACCAGUGGCGAAGGCGGCUUUUGGCCUGUA
RNAcentral lists this ribosomal RNA (412 nucleotides) under Fictibacillus sp. Its description in RNAcentral is "bacterial SSU rRNA". It matches the Rfam family "Bacterial small subunit ribosomal RNA", at positions 334 to 738 of the family's 1533-position model. Lineage: Bacteria; Bacillati; Bacillota; Bacilli; Caryophanales; Fictibacillaceae. The record is from RNAcentral.